GUUUGACCUCAAAUCAGGUAGGAAUACCCGCUGAACUUAAGCAUAUCAAUAAGCGGAGGAAAAGAAACCAACAGGGAUUGCCUUAGUAGCGGCGAGUGAAGCGGCAAAAGCUCAAAUUUGAAAUCUGGCACCUUCGGUGUCCGAGUUGUAAUUUGAAGAUUGUAACCUUGGGGUUGGCUCUUGUCUAUGUUUCUUGGAACAGGACGUCACAGAGGGUGAGAAUCCCGUGCGAUGAGAUGCCCAAUCCUAUGUAAGGUGCUUUCGAAGAGUCGAGUUGUUGGAAAA
RNAcentral lists this ribosomal RNA (285 nucleotides) under Meyerozyma carpophila. Its description in RNAcentral is "partial 28S ribosomal RNA". It matches the Rfam family "Eukaryotic large subunit ribosomal RNA", at positions 1 to 280 of the family's 3401-position model. The record is from RNAcentral. Lineage: Eukaryota; Fungi; Ascomycota; Pichiomycetes; Serinales; Debaryomycetaceae.